This 446-nucleotide ribosomal RNA is filed under the name uncultured bacterium. RNAcentral's name for it is "partial 16S ribosomal RNA". It matches the Rfam family "Bacterial small subunit ribosomal RNA", at positions 330 to 792 of the family's 1533-position model. The record is from RNAcentral.
CCCAGACUCCCACGGGAGGCAGCAGUGGGGGAUAUUGCACAAUGGGGGAAACCCUGAUGCAGCGACGCCGCGUGAGUGAAGAAGUAUUUCGGUAUGUAAAGCUCUAUCAGCAGGGAAGAAAAAAGACGGUACCUGACUAAGAAGCCCCGGCUAACUACGUGCCAGCAGCCGCGGUAAUACGUAGGGGGCAAGCGUUAUCCGGAUUUACUGGGUGUAAAGGGAGCGUAGACGGCAAUACAAGUCGGAAGUGAAAUACCCGGGCUCAACCUGGGAACUGCUUUGGAAACUGUAUGGCUGGAGUGCUGGAGAGGUAAGCGGAAUUCCUAGUGUAGCGGUGAAAUGCGUAGAUAUUAGGAGGAACACCAGUGGCGAAGGCGGCUUACUGGACUGUAACUGACGUUGAGGCUCGAAAGCGUGGGGAGCAAACAGGAUUAGAUACCCCAGUA